Parus major (Great Tit) is the source of this 2359-nucleotide long non-coding RNA. RefSeq lists it as uncharacterized. The transcript is spliced from 5 exons. NCBI's taxonomy places the organism in Eukaryota, Metazoa, Chordata, Aves, Passeriformes, Paridae. The record is from RefSeq and is a predicted model, not a curated record.
UCACAGGGACAGCUGUAGCAGGAAGGGAAGAAACUUCUGACCAGGUACCCAUCAAAUGAUGACAUGAGAUAUGUGACCUUCCAAAUAGAAUUCUGGAGCAUCUGUUUAAAAAUGAGGGAUGCCUUCAUAAAGUCAUGCACAUUAACUUAUACUGGCACAAGUGCUUUUACAAAGAGUAAAUUGCUCACUGGAAAAAAAUACAGCUAUGACUUUGAAGGUUGUGUUAAAUUACUAAGUUCAGUUGAAAGCGGAUCACAGUCCUUGUAACCUGAUUCUCUACUGCCUUACUGUGUGUACUCAGGAACUCCACUGAAGAUGAAGGCUUUUGCAAAAAAUAUCAAAAUAUUUAUGUUUCAAGGAGAAUAAGUGCAGGAAAAUUUUAAAGGAAAAACAUUUAUUGAAAGGUAAUUCAGGAGAAAGUCAGAUAUAUGAACCCUGUUAUCUAGACCAAUUCUUUGAUUUUUUUAACAUUUCUGCCCCUACAGUCAAGCACUGCAGUAGAAUUUUCUUAAUACAGGGAUACUGUGUGGUGCAAGGACAGAGGAAGGAUUAUUAACCACUUGGUGCACAUUUCCUGUGAAGAUGAGAGAAGCAAAAUAGAAUUAUUUGUUCAUUCAUUAGGUAAAUUUAGUCACCAUUACAUUAUUUAUGUUUGCAUUGCUCCUUUUAUCCCACACAAACCAUGGAGAGAUUUCUGUGCUUUUUGGCAGACAAGGAGGUUUUACUAGAAUAGAUGCUGUUUAGGAAGGAACAAGUUUUGAGUGAGUAUUUGAGUAUUUAUGUAAAAGAAUCUAGACAGUAUCCAUAAAACACACUUUGAUCUUACUUACUUACAUUUGUGCUUUUUUUUUCAAAAGGCCCUUGACGAAUACACUUAUGCAACAUUCACUGUGCACUGCCUGUAGCCACAUGCCACUGGUGCAGGGUGUUUGAAUGGCAUCCAUUUCACACCGUACAGGGAUCCCUUUGGCCCCUAUCUGAAUGCCCAAGCUGGAUGCAUCCCAUCUGGUGGUGUACCUUCAAUCAAACAUUUGCUAUUUGCCAAAGAGAAAGAUAUAAUUGUCUGCCAAGACAACCUAACUUGCAUCUCAAGGGAGUAAAUCCUUCUAUGUUUCAAGCUGGCACAGCUCCACAAAACAGUUAUGCCAAUUAUUUCUAGCCAGGGAAAUAAUACUUACCACUAGGUGUAAAGCUGCUUGUACUGAAGCUGUUGAAAUUACUAUCAUUAUGUUAUUUCUUGGCAUGGAAAGGAAAAAGAUGAGUGAGUGUUUGGGGGGCUUUGUUUAAGUGCAACAGGCCGCUUAUUCAUGCAAACUGCUGAAAGCCACCGGGAAGUAAGCACAGCGAGGAGGGUGAACUUCUUGGAAAACCAGAUCUUAUAUUUAACUUGGUAAGGAGACAAAGACAUUUCUUAAUGAAACCUAAAAAGCCUCCAGAUCUGCCAGUUCCUUCAGAAAGGAAAAGCCUUUCUCAAUGUGUUAGAUUAACACUGCAGUACUUAUUGUGCUGUUGCUUUUAUGACUCUUACAGAAAUCUUUCCCACACCUCCUGCAGGAGCUACUUGUGUAGUGCCAAUGCUCAGAAAAACCAUCACAUGGUUUUCCUCCACCUGAAAAAUGAUUUUGAAUAUUUGUUUUGUUUCACAUGGUCUGUAAUGCUAUUCACACUCUGUUCUUGAAGCUGGGAGAAAAACUCUUCUUCAGACAAAAAAUUAGAGGGGUCUGAAGGAAACUUUAAAGAGUUUGAAGAGCUUAAACUGGAUGUAGGUUGGGGUACACAACAUUGUCCCCCUCUCAUGCAGCAGGGCUCCUGCAGCUGCAUAUACUGGGCCAAGUUGCAUCAGUACUUCAUAGCCAGUGUUACAUCUGGUCUAGAUGUUGUAUUGCAACCAGGUCAACACAGCACCUCUUCUGAAGAUGGUAUUUCUUCACAAGCUUACAGCAAAGCUCCAGCACAGCCAGGGAGCUGCACUGAGGCUCCGACAGCAGGUACUGCCUCAGGCUGCCCGAGACGUGCCCAAACGGAGGGCCAGGAGCCACACUGCACACCCCUGGCACCGCUCUGGCUUUGCCAUCAGAGACAAGACCACGCUCACACAUUCAUUACACUUCAUUCCUCAUAACACAGCACAGCCCUUCGCAGUCCACAAUACGAUAUGGUGGGGAUGGUCUUAUUUGGUCUAAGGUUGGACUUGAUCAUCUCGAAGGGCUUUUUCAACUUUAAUGAUUCGACCAUUUCUGUAUUUUCUCCUUGGAGCGUGACCCGAAGCAGCGAGGAAUGUGUCAUGGGGCGACAGCGUGGUGUGAGGGGAGCCACUGCCAGCACGGCCUCACCGCGGUGUGAGGGGAGCCACUGCCAG